GAUGAAGAACGCAGCGAAAUGCGAUAAGUAGUGUGAAUUGCAGAAUUCAGUGAAUCAUCGAAUCUUUGAACGCACAUUGCGCCCCUUGGUAUUCCAUGGGGCAUGCCUGUUCGAGCGUCAUUUGUACCCUCAAGCUUUGCUUGGUGUUGGGCGUCUUGUCGUAUUACGACUCGCCUUAAAUACAUUGGCAGCCGGCACUUUGGCCUAGGAGCGCAGCACAUUUUGCGAUCGUAGCCCGUUGUACUGGCGUCCAUCAAGAACAUUUACCACGUUUGACCUCGGAUCAGGUAGGGAUACCCGCUGAACUUAAGCAUAUCAAUAAGCGGAGGU
RNAcentral lists this unclassified non-coding RNA (330 nucleotides) under soil metagenome. Its description in RNAcentral is "partial contains 5.8S ribosomal RNA, internal transcribed spacer 2, and large subunit ribosomal RNA". The stretch from base 1 to 120 matches the Rfam family "5.8S ribosomal RNA", at positions 35 to 154 of the family's 154-position model. The record is from RNAcentral.